RNAcentral lists this ribosomal RNA (305 nucleotides) under uncultured bacterium. RNAcentral's name for it is "bacterial SSU rRNA". It matches the Rfam family "Bacterial small subunit ribosomal RNA", at positions 333 to 654 of the family's 1533-position model. The record is from RNAcentral.
GUAAGCCUACGGGGGGCAGCAGUGGGGAAUAUUGCACAAUGGGGGAAACCCUGAUGCAGCGACGCCGCGUGAGUGAAGAAGUAUUUCGGUAUGUAAAGCUCUAUCAGCAGGAACGAGACAAGACGGUACCUGACUAAGAAGCCCCGGCUAACUACGUGCCAGCAGCCGCGGUAAUACGUAGGGGGCAAGCGUUAUCCGGAAUCACUGGGUGUAAAGGGAGCGUAGACGGCUGAGCAAGCCUGAAGUGAGAGCCCGUGGCUCAACCGCGGAACUGCUUUGGAAACUGUAUAGCUUGAGUACUGGAG